RNAcentral lists this ribosomal RNA (589 nucleotides) under uncultured bacterium. RNAcentral describes it as "bacterial SSU rRNA". It matches the Rfam family "Bacterial small subunit ribosomal RNA", at positions 338 to 916 of the family's 1533-position model. The record is from RNAcentral.
CCUACGGGAGGCAGCAGUGGGGAAUUUUGGACAAUGGGCGCAAGCCUGAUCCAGCAAUGCCGCGUGAGUGAAGAAGGCCUUCGGGUUGUAAAGCUCUUUUGUCAGGGAAGAAACGGUCUACUCUAAUACAGUGGGCUAAUGACGGUACCUGAAGAAUAAGCACCGGCUAACUACGUGCCAGCAGCCGCGGUAAUACGUAGGGUGCAAGCGUUAAUCGGAAUUACUGGGCGUAAAGCGUGCGCAGGCGGUUAUAUAAGUCAGAUGUGAAAUCCCCGGGCUCAACCUGGGAACUGCAUUUGAGACUGUAUGGCUAGAGUGUGUCAGAGGGGGGUAGAAUUCCACGUGUAGCAGUGAAAUGCGUAGAUAUGUGGAGGAAUACCGAUGGCGAAGGCAGCCCCCUGGGAUAACACUGACGCUCGUGCACGAAAGCGUGGGGAGCAAACAGGAUUAGAUACCCUGGUAGUCCACGCCCUAAACGAUGUCUACUAGUUGUCGGGACUUAAUUGUCUUGGUAACGCAGCUAACGCGUGAAGUAGACCGCCUGGGGAGUACGGGUCGCAAGAUUAAAACCGUUAAAGGAAAUUGACGG